GGACAAGACCCGAAGAUGAGCACAGGGUGGAUGCCUAGGCGCCACAGACCGAUGAAGGACGCGCCCACGCGGCGAAAUGCUCUGGGGAGGCGCUGGGAGCCAGUGAUCCAGAGGUCUCCGAAUGGGGCAACCCGUCCGAGGUCAUACCGGACACCACGCAAGUGGAGGGAACCGGGGGAACUGAAACAUCUCACGUACCCCGAGGAACACAGAUGAUUCCCGUAGUAGCGGCGAGCGAACCGGGAGGAGCCCAAACCUGACCAGCGCACGAGGCUGCCGCCGCUGCUGGGCAGGGGUUGUACGGGAUGGAUGGAGGAGGUGGCAGACUCCUCGCCCGCAUCACGAGCACCGCGCGGAACGCUUACUGGAAGGGGCGACCGAAGAGGGUGAGAGUCCCGUAGGCGGGGGGCUGGUGGUGGGGUGAUCCAUGACCGUGAGUACCGCCGGACACGUGAAAUCCGGUGGGAAGCAGGGCCGCCCACGGCCCAAGGCUAAAUAUCGGUGGCGACCGAUAGCGAACCAGUACCGUGAGGGAAAGGUGAAAAGCACCCCGUCGAGGGGAGUGAAACAGAUCCUGAAACCCUGUGCUUCCGGCCGGUCGGAGUCCCUUUAGGGGAUGACGGCGUGCCUUUUGUAGAAUGAGCCGACGAGUGAUUGGGCGUAGCGAGGCUAAGGCGGCGGACAGCCGGAGCCGGAGCGAAAGCGAGUCCGACAGGGCGACGUUAGUUGCGUGCAAUCGACCCGAAACCGGGUGAUCUACCCUUGGGCAGGGUGAAGCGGGCGGAACACGCCCGUGGAGGCCCGAACCCGUGUCUGUUACAAAAGGCAGGGAUGACCUGAGGGUAGGGGUGAAAUGCCAAUCGAACCCGGAGAUAGCUGGUUCUCCCCGAAAUGCAUUUAGGUGCAGCCUUGAGCUGGGCCACGAUGGAGGUAGCGCACUGAAUCGGCGAGGGGGCUUCCCGCUUACCGACCCGUCUCAAACGUCGAAGACCGUCGUGGGGGGCUCAGGAGUGAGACUGUGGGAGCUAAGUUCCAUGGUCGAGAGGGAAACAGCCCAGACCGCCGGCUAAGGUCCCGAAGUACACGCUAAGUGGGCAAGGUAGUCGUGGCGCGCAGACAACCAGGAGGUUGGCUUAGAAGCAGCCAUGCCUUGAAAGAGUGCGUAAUAGCUCACUGGUCGAUGCGCUACGGCGCCGACAAUCCACCGGGGCUCAAGCGUGUCACCGACGCCGCGGAUUUCGGAUAACGGAAUGGUAGGGGAGCGUCGUGGUCAGCAGAGAAGGGGGAGCGUGAGCGAACCUGGAGCGGCCACGAGUGCGAAUGUCGGCAUGAGUAGCGCGAGGGGGGUGCGAAUCCUCCCCACCGAAUGCCCGAGGGUUCCGCAGCGAUGCUGAUCAACUGCGGGUGAGGCGGGCCUAAGCCGAGGCCGGAAGGCGUAGGCGAUGGACAACGGGUUCAAAUUCCCGUCCCGUUCGGCACCGAUUGAGUGAUGGGGUGACGCGGGGAGCUAGGUCCGGGGGGUGCAAGCCCCUCCAAGUUGGUAGGGAGUGGCCACAGGCAAAUCCGUGGCUGCGUUGACCGAGAAACGAGUGGAAGGUGCGGUCGUCAUGGCCAAGCCGGACGGAUUGAUGCUGGACCGCCAAGAAAAGCCUCUAGCGAGGGGCCUGAGCGACCGUACCGCAAACCGACACAGGUGGGCUGGUAGAGCAUACCAAGGUGGACGGGAGAACCUCCGUCAAGGAACUCGGCAAAUUCGUCCCGUAACUUCGGGAGAAGGGACGCCCCGGUAGGGUGAAGCGGCAUGCCCGUGGAGCUCGAGGGGGUCGCAGUGACCAGGCCCAGGCGACUGUUUACCAAAAACACCGGUCCCUGCCAACGCGAAUGAGCGUGGACGUAUAGGGGCUGAGACCUGCCCAGUGCCGGAAGGUUAACGGGAGGCGUGCGAGCGCUGAACCGAAGCCCCGGUAAACGGCGGCCGUAACUAUAACGGUCCUAAGGUAGCGAAAUUCCUUGUCGGGUAAGUUCCGACCCGCACGAAAGGUAGAACGAUCUGGGCGCUGUCUCGACGGAGGACCCGGCGAAAUUGCAAGACCGGUGAAGAUACCGGUGACCCGCGGCAGGACAAAAAGACCCCGUGCAGCUUUACUCCAACUUGUCGUUGGGCGCGGGCGCCGUUUGUGUAGGAUAGGUGGGAGCCGGAGAACCUGGGGCGUCAGCUCUGGGGGAGGCGCUGGUGAAAUACCACCCUGACGGCGCCUGUGUCCUCACCCGGGCCUCGGAAUCGGGGCAGGGGACCGCGGCUGGUGGGGAGUUUGACUGGGGCGGUCGCCUCCCAAACAGUAACGGAGGCGCCCAAUGGUUCCCUCAGGCCGGAUGGCAAUCGGCUGGAGCGCGCAAGGGCAGCAAGGGAGCUUGACUGCGAGGCGGACAUGCCGAGCAGGGACGAAAGUCGGGCCUAGUGAUCCCACGGUACCGGGUGGCAGGGCCGUGGCUUAACGGAUAAAAGCUACGCCGGGGAUAACAGGCUGAUCCUGCCCAAGAGUCCACAUCGACGGCAGGGUUUGGCACCUCGAUGUCGGCUCGUCGCAUCCUGGGGCCGGAGAAGGUCCCAAGGGUUGGGCUGUUCGCCCAUUAAAGCGGUACGCGAGCUGGGUUCAGAACGUCGUGAGACAGUUCGGUCUCUAUCCGCCGUGGGCGUAUGGGUGUUUGCGGGGGGCCGUCCCUAGUACGAGAGGACCGGGAUGGACGGACCGCUGGUGAGCCAGUUGUCGGGUAACCGGCAUCGCUGGGUAGCUACGUCCGGAUGGGCGAACCGCUGAAAGCAUCUAAGCGGGAAUCCCGCCCCAAGACCAGACACCCCGGGAGCACCAAGCUCCGGGAGACCCCCGGGAGACGACCGGGUUGAUAGGCGGCGCGUGGACAGCGGGCAACCGACUGGAGCGGAGCCGUCCUAAUGGUCAAGGGGGUUUUCGCCCCGC
RNAcentral lists this ribosomal RNA (2978 nucleotides) under uncultured Thermomicrobiales bacterium. RNAcentral describes it as "LSU rRNA". It matches the Rfam family "Bacterial large subunit ribosomal RNA". Lineage: Bacteria; Pseudomonadati; Thermomicrobiota; Thermomicrobia; Thermomicrobiales. The record is from RNAcentral.